GCCGGUGUAGCUCAGUGGUAGAGCGCUUCCUUGGUAAGGAAGAGGUCCCGAGUUCAACUCUCGGCAUUGGCUC
Molecule: transfer RNA, 73 nt
Filed under: Flavobacteriales bacterium
Lineage: Bacteria; Pseudomonadati; Bacteroidota; Flavobacteriia; Flavobacteriales
Description: tRNA-Thr
Rfam family: tRNA
About the family: Transfer RNA (tRNA) molecules are approximately 80 nucleotides in length. Their secondary structure includes four short double-helical elements and three loops (D, anti-codon, and T loops).
Source: RNAcentral